AUGGCAGCCCUCGACACGAUCCACGAGCACAAUGAGCGUGACCUCGAGGCAGGGCACGCUACGCCGCCGUCAUCACUCGUCACGGACAAGGCCCCUCGGCGGGAACGCGAUCGUCGGCGCAACAGCUGCCGCCGGUUCGCCUGGGUCGCCCUUCUCGCCGUGGCAGCCCUCGCCGUCGCCCUCGCGGCCGUCCUCGGGGCUCUUUACCUGGUGCUCGACCCGAAGAUGCCCCUUUACACGGUGCACGCGCUCAACGUGACGGCCUUCGGCAUGGACGACGACAUGACCGCGCGUGCGCGCUUCGACGCGGCGGUCCGGUUCGAGAACCCGAACCGCGCCAUCGGCAUCUCGUACGAGGAGGGGUCCAGCCUCGCGGUGUGGUACGACGGGUACCGGCUGUCCGAGGGCGCGCUGCCGGCGUUCUACCAGGGGCACGGCGACGCCGCGGUUGUGCACGUCGCCAUGAGCGAGGCGCGGCUGGGUGGCACGGGGGUGGUGGAGGCCAUGCGGCACGUGAACGGGGCCGGCGGCGAGCUGCCGCUGGUGUUCCGCGGCGAGGUGCCGGUGCGGGUGAAGGUCGGGCCGGUGACGACCGGCAAGGUGACGCCCCGUGUCCGGUGCGACCUGGUGCUGGACAGGCUGAGCACCGAGGGCCGGAUCGGGGUCAAUAGGAUGAGCUGCAACUUGAAGCUAUGGUGA
Molecule: ribosomal RNA, 699 nt
Filed under: Triticum aestivum (bread wheat)
Lineage: Eukaryota; Viridiplantae; Streptophyta; Magnoliopsida; Poales; Poaceae
Description: partial small subunit ribosomal RNA
Source: RNAcentral